UACAGAGGAUGCAAGCGUUAUCCGGAAUGAUUGGGCGUAAAGCGUCUGUAGGUGGCUUUUUAAGCCCGCCGUCAAAUCCCAGGGCUCAACUCUGGACAGGCGGUGGAAACUACCAAGCUGGAGUACGGUAGGGGCAGAGGGAAUUUCCGGUGGAGCGGUGAAAUGCGUAGAUAUCGGAAGGAACGCCAGUGGCGAAAGCGGCUUCCUGGUCCGACACCGACGUUCAGGCACGAAAGCGUGGGGAGCAAACAGG
This 253-nucleotide ribosomal RNA is filed under the name uncultured bacterium. RNAcentral's name for it is "partial 16S ribosomal RNA". It matches the Rfam family "Bacterial small subunit ribosomal RNA", at positions 524 to 776 of the family's 1533-position model. The record is from RNAcentral.